CCUACGGGAGGCAGCAGUGGGGAAUUUUGGACAAUGGGCGCAAGCCUGAUCCAGCAAUGCCGCGUGAGUGAAGAAGGCCUUCGGGUUGUAAAGCUCUUUUGUCAGGGAAGAAACGGUCUUGGUUAAUACCUGGGGCUAAUGACGGUACCUGAAGAAUAAGCACCGGCUAACUACGUGCCAGCAGCCGCGGUAAUACGUAGGGUGCAAGCGUUAAUCGGAAUUACUGGGCGUAAAGCGUGCGCAGGCGGUUGUGUAAGACAGGUGUGAAAUCCCCGGGCUUAACCUGGGAAUGGCAUUUGUGACUGCACGGCUAGAGUGUGUCAGAGGGGGGUAGAAUUCCACGUGUAGCAGUGAAAUGCGUAGAGAUGUGGAGGAAUACCGAUGGCGAAGGCAGCCCCCUGGGAUAACACUGACGCUCAUGCACGAAAGCGUGGGGAGCAAACAGGAUUAGAUACCCUGGUAGUCCACGCCCUAAACGAUGUCUACUAGUUGUCGGGUCUUAAUUGACUUGGUAACGCAGCUAACGCGUGAAGUGACCGCCUGGGGAGUACGGUCGCAAGNUUAAAACUNAAAUUGAAUUGACCGGNNGNGAGNGCGAGCGACGACGAGGAAGGAGG
Molecule: ribosomal RNA, 617 nt
Filed under: uncultured bacterium
Lineage: Bacteria
Description: bacterial SSU rRNA
Rfam family: Bacterial small subunit ribosomal RNA
Source: RNAcentral